AAUUAAUGACAACAUUGCCUGAAUAACAGCAUAUUUAUAUUGUAAUUUCUCUGUUACUUGAUCGAUUCAGAUGAUCCAUCCCUAUCUCUGCAAUCGGAAAAUUCAGCGUUGUUGAUUCUGGGGCUGCUUCUCUCCAUUGGGAAACCAAACAAGAUGGAUGGUACAGUCCAUGAGUGUGAAUCUACAGCAGUAUCAGGUCUGAAAUGUCUUGAGAUUUCUGGGAUCUCUGAGCAGGAAUGGGAAUAGAAUCAGAAAUGGUGAGAAAAAGUCUGACUCUGGCAAGACUUGCAAACGGUCAGAAUGAGGACCAAGGAAGUUCCUAAUAUUGCUUCUGCUUCUGCUGUAAAACAAGGUUCAUUAGGUCCCCUGUCAGACAGUCCUGGUUCCAGAGCUAUUGCAGAGGAAGCUAUGCUUGGGCCACCCCUUGCAGGACUUGUCUCUGGAGAGGACAGAUGCAUAGAUUACAUUUGUGAAGAUGUGCCUGUGGAAAUCUUCUCGGUGGGGACAAUUUUGACUUGCAUCGAGUUAAUAUCUCCUGGGAAUGAGGCUGGGGAGGUGGUUAUUGCUUCCACUGGGGCCACAGCUGCCAUAAAUCCAUCUUCUUCUGAGCAAGCAGAAACAGGAAAGCAGAAGAAGACGUGGAAAAUAAACAGCAAGAUUUUAAUUUUAGAUAGCUGGUCAGAGUAAUAUCCUCAGGCAGAACCAGUGGGAAUUGAUGGUCAUAGAGAAAAAACAUUCAACAGGAAAAUUGGAAAAGCAAAGAGUAUCCACACUGGUCAUUUCUUCACAUCCCUUGCCUUUCAGAAGGAGGGACUGUUGUUAACGAUGAUCAGUUUAACUGCUGAUUUUUUAUUUUAAUUUUAUUUAUGUGUACUGAGAAAAAGAGCUGUGCCAGUUGCUGAAAACCAUGUUGGUUGCUUCUUAGUCAGCUGUACUGAGAGAUAAAGCCCAGGGCUUUGGGAUGUGAAGAAGAAUGCCUUUGCCUUUGAAUGAGUUUCUGAGUGAUACUUAACUUGUGUUUAAUGCAUCUUCCAGAGUUGUCAAACUGGAAGCUCCUUUGGGCUUGAACGAGGAGAAUUAAAUGGUAGGUGGUUCUCCAAAUGUCUCCUUCAAAGUCUGACUAGGUAUGUUAUCUGUGAUACAUUUUCAGCUUUCUAAAAUUCCUAGUACAGGUUUUUAUCCCUUCGUAAUAUUUUGAGCCUUAUGUUGGACUUAUGCCUCUUUAGAGAGCAUGAGUAAUUGUUUUUCAGGAAGUAAAAGAUUGCUGCAGAUGUGCAAAUACAGGUGCUCUUGCUCCUUCAGGAGUUCUCAGUUUUCUAUUACCAAGCUUCCCAGAAGCAGCUAGAAAAACAUGGACCAAAACUGGAGCUGUUGCUAGGUGAAAAUGAGAAAUAUCUGGUAAAAAACCUACUUUGAUAAUACAGGAGAGAUAUGAAGGAACAGCCAGCACUUACACUCAGCCUUUUCAAGUACACACACUUAUGCCUGUGCUGUUUUUUAAAAAAAUAAUAGAAAAAAAAAAACUUUAAAAGUCAGAAGUGUUGUUUCUUAAAAAAAAAAAAAAAAAAAGUAAGAUUCUGUAUGGUUUUCAUUAUUCCAAAUUGACACUUAGGGCAGUGGCUCACAGAGAGGAGCACACUACACCUUGAAACCAGGUCCUGAAGUUCUAAAAAAAUGCGACUUUCCACCUCUCCCCAGGCAACCAAGUCUAGUGGAAGGUGUCCCUGCCCACAGCAGGGGCAUUGGAACCAUCUGAUCUUCAAGGUCCCUUCCAACCCAAAGCAUUCUGUGAUUUUCUGAGUUAAGCAGUGGCUUGGUUGUACCCACCCAGUGCUCAUAUGCUUGGCAGAUAGGGGGUCUCUGAACAUGGCAUUGGGGCUUUGCUUGUAAGGGAGCCUCAUAGCAAGAGUUCAGCAGCUAAACUGGGCAAUGGCUGGUCUAAGACUUGUCUCCGUCUCUAUUUCCUGCCUGCAGGACUUGGCCCUCAUUUAUCAGGUGUGCCCUUCCAGAGGUCAAGGGCUUUGGGUGACUUCUGUCCCUGGCCUCUCGUGUUGCAGUGCUCACCAUGCAGGCAGGAAGAGAGUAGUUUUCUCAUACUGCAUGUAGUGGGGGAAAAAAAGUUUUCCUGCUGGAGUUAAAAGAAAUGGUAACCCCCUCAGGGGGUGGUGACCCUUGGGGUUGAGCCAAUGAGCGCUCCUGCAAGAUAUAAACAUAUCAACAGCCAGACUGGAAAAGAAGGGUAGUAGUUGUUGUUGAAGUGGCCGUGUUGUAGAGCCACGAGGAAGGGGCCCAGAGCCCCGUUGGGGGCUAGGCCCCCCCAGCCCCAGCUGGGGGGCUGCAGGAACUUGGACAGUGUUAAACUGGACUGAGAUCUGUAGCUAGAAAGCUGAAGGAGUUUUCUUCAUCGUGAGUGGGCAGACGGAGCAGCAGCAGAAACAGCACUGACCGGAGAACAGUGGCAGAGAGCCAGAAGGAGAUAAGGAGCAGCAGGGAUGGCAUGCAGCUAAGGAAGACACAGAGAUCUCUAAUGGAGAGAGAGAGAGCAGAACUAAGCCCUACAGAGACAAAGUUUGGGGUGAGAACUAAAACAAACCCCCCAAAACCCUUUUGUGACCUCUCCUAAGUGGAGGGGGUGCACUCCUACUGGAUGGAAGUCCUAAAAUGCAGCAUGCACCGGAGAGAGGAGCUGAGAAGCUCAAAGAUGUCCCGGAACUGGACUGGGAUGGCCAGAUGGAAUGCAGAGGGGGUGACCUUGCCCCCCCCCCCCACUGUUACUGCUAAGUUAACAGCCUGAGACAGAGCACGGGAGCUCUGCAAGGGAGCUCGAAUCCCCUGAGGAUAGGGACUGUCACGAAGACUCCUGCACUCGUGAUAUGACGUGGUGAAGCGACCUUUGUCCUGGUGAACGCAGCCCACGGAAGAGAAAGACCCUUGCUUGAAGUCGAAGGGCUGAGAAGGGCUUGGAGACCGUCCUCGUGUGUAAUGGAAAGAGAUCCAGCUACAGCUGCUGCAUGGAAGAUAGAAGAGAGACUGCUGCCCUAGAGAGACUGCUACUCAAAGAGUGGAAAGGAUCUUUCCUUUUCCCUUCUGGACUUUUAUUGGAGGGAGAAAAGAUUGAUCCAUUGUAAAUACUGAUUUAUCAUAGGAAAGAUAGUUAAGAUUAUGUAUAUGAUGUAUUGUGAUAUUUAUUUGUGCAGUCAUUGUAAUAUAAUCCCCUUUCCCCCCAUACUGAGUCUUGUGUGGUGUCUGGAAAACCCAUCUCACACUGGUUGAGAUGUGGGGAGGGGAGCUUGGACUUAAGAACUGGAUUUUGGGGGUCUCAAACUACAACACUGCAGCAAUGAGUUUUUGCAAGCAUAGACUCCUCAAUAAGACAAACACUGAAUGUAGCAGGAAGAAAAAUGAAGACUGUCACAAGAACCACUUGGUCUCAUGGUUUAGGGACUCACCCAGGAGGCACCAGAGUGAGAAGAGUUCAACCUGGAUCUCUGCAUUACAAAUAAAUAAAUCACCAAACUGCUGCCUCAUUGCCACAAACCAUGUUCAGUAUUUCCUCGUGCUCUUGCUUGAUCUUGUGGAAUUAAACAAACAUCUCUUUAAAGACAAGAAAUAUGCAAAUAGCUGU
Molecule: long non-coding RNA, 3625 nt
Organism: Lepidothrix coronata (blue-crowned manakin)
Lineage: Eukaryota; Metazoa; Chordata; Aves; Passeriformes; Pipridae
Exons: 5
Source: RefSeq, a predicted model, not a curated record